CAGCAGCCGCGGGAAUACGGAGGGUGCAAGCGUUAAUCGGAAUUACUGGGCGUAAAGCGCACGCAGGCGGUCUGACAAGUCAGAUGUGAAAUCCCCGGGCUUAACCUGGGAACUGCAUUUGAAACUGUCAGGCUGGAGUCUUGUAGAGGGGGGUGGAAUUCCAGGUGUAGCGGUGAAAUGCGUAGAGAUCUGGAGGAAUACCGGUGGCGAAGGCGGCCCCCUGGACAAAGACUGACGCUCAGGUGCGAAAGCGUGGGGAGCAAACAGGAUUAGAGACCCCUGUAGUCCUGUCUCUUAUACA
This 301-nucleotide ribosomal RNA is filed under the name uncultured bacterium. Its description in RNAcentral is "partial 16S ribosomal RNA". It matches the Rfam family "Bacterial small subunit ribosomal RNA", at positions 509 to 809 of the family's 1533-position model. The record is from RNAcentral.